Ipomoea nil (Japanese morning glory) is the source of this 154-nucleotide ribosomal RNA. It matches the Rfam family "5.8S ribosomal RNA". From Rfam's summary of the family: 5.8S ribosomal RNA (5.8S rRNA) is a component of the large subunit of the eukaryotic ribosome. It is transcribed by RNA polymerase I as part of the 45S precursor that also contains 18S and 28S rRNA. The record is from Rfam. Lineage: Eukaryota; Viridiplantae; Streptophyta; Magnoliopsida; Solanales; Convolvulaceae.
GACUCUCGCAACGGAUAUCUCGGCUCUCGCAUCGAUGAAGAACGUAGCGAAAUGCGAUACUUGGUGUGAAUUGCAGAAUCCCGUGAACCAUCGAGUCUUUGAACGCAAGUUGCGCCGAAGCCGUUAGGCCGAGGGCACGUCUGCCUGGGCGUCA